GGGCGAUUAGCUCAGUUGGUUAGAGCGCUUCCCUUACAAGGAAGAAGUCGGGGGUUCGAGUCCCUCAUCGCCCACCA
Molecule: transfer RNA, 77 nt
Filed under: Dehalococcoidia bacterium
Lineage: Bacteria; Bacillati; Chloroflexota; Dehalococcoidia
Also listed under: 1 other name
Description: tRNA-Val
Rfam family: tRNA
About the family: Transfer RNA (tRNA) molecules are approximately 80 nucleotides in length. Their secondary structure includes four short double-helical elements and three loops (D, anti-codon, and T loops).
Source: RNAcentral